GAUGAAGAACGUAGCGAAAUGCGAUAAGUAAUGUGAAUUGCAGAAUUCAGUGAAUCAUCGAAUCUUUGAACGCACAUUGCGCCCGCCAGUAUUCUGGCGGGCAUGCCUGUUCGAGCGUCAUUUCAACCAUCAAGCCCCAGGCUUGUGUUGGGGACCUGCGGCUGCCGCAGGCCCUGAAAACCAGUGGCGGGCUCGCUGUCACACCGGGCGUAGUAGAUUUUAUCUCGCUCAGGGCGUGCUGCGGGUCCCGGCCGUUAAAAGCCUUUUUUACCCAAGGUUGACCUCGGAUCAGGUAGGAAGACCCGCUGAACUUAAGCAUAUCAAUAAGCGGAGGA
This 335-nucleotide unclassified non-coding RNA is filed under the name soil metagenome. Its description in RNAcentral is "partial contains 5.8S ribosomal RNA, internal transcribed spacer 2, and large subunit ribosomal RNA". The stretch from base 1 to 120 matches the Rfam family "5.8S ribosomal RNA", at positions 35 to 154 of the family's 154-position model. The record is from RNAcentral.